RNAcentral lists this ribosomal RNA (1367 nucleotides) under uncultured bacterium. RNAcentral's name for it is "bacterial SSU rRNA". It matches the Rfam family "Bacterial small subunit ribosomal RNA". The record is from RNAcentral.
AGAGUUUGAUCCUGGCUCAGAACGAACGCUGGCGGCGUGGAUAAGACAUGCAAGUCGAACGAGAGAAUUGCUAGCUUGCUAAUAAUUCUCUAGUGGCGCACGGGUGAGUAACACGUGAGUAACCUGCCCCCGAGAGCGGGAUAGCCCUGGGAAACUGGGAUUAAUACCGCAUAGUAUCGAAAGAUUAAAGCAGCAAUGCGCUUGGGGAUGGGCUCGCGGCCUAUUAGUUAGUUGGUGAGGUAACGGCUCACCAAGGCGAUGACGGGUAGCCGGUCUGAGAGGAUGUCCGGCCACACUGGAACUGAGACACGGUCCAGACACCUACGGGUGGCAGCAGUCGAGAAUCAUUCACAAUGGGGGAAACCCUGAUGGUGCGACGCCGCGUGGGGGAAUGAAGGUCUUCGGAUUGUAAACCCCUGUCAUGUGGGAGCAAAUUAAAAAGAUAGUACCACAAGAGGAAGAGACGGCUAACUCUGUGCCAGCAGCCGCGGUAAUACAGAGGUCUCAAGCGUUGUUCGGAAUCACUGGGCGUAAAGCGUGCGUAGGCUGUUUCGUAAGUCGUGUGUGAAAGGCGCGGGCUCAACCCGCGGACGGCACAUGAUACUGCGAGACUAGAGUAAUGGAGGGGGAACCGGAAUUCUCGGUGUAGCAGUGAAAUGCGUAGAUAUCGAGAGGAACACUCGUGGCGAAGGCGGGUUCCUGGACAUUAACUGACGCUGAGGCACGAAGGCCAGGGGAGCGAAAGGGAUUAGAUACCCCUGUAGUCCUGGCAGUAUACGGUGCACGCUUGGUGUGCGGGGAAUCGACCCCCUGCGUGCCGGAGCUAACGCGUUAAGCGUGCCGCCUGGGGAGUACGGUCGCAAGAUUAAAACUCAAAGAAAUUGACGGGGACCCGCACAAGCGGUGGAGUAUGUGGCUUAAUUCGAUGCAACGCGAAGAACCUUACCUGGGCUUGACAUGUAAUGAACAACAUGUGAAAGCAUGCGACUCUUCGGAGGCGUUACACAGGUGCUGCAUGGCCGUCGUCAGCUCGUGUCGUGAGAUGUUUGGUUAAGUCCAGCAACGAGCGCAACCCCUGUUGCCAGUUACCAGCACGUGAAGGUGGGGACUCUGGCGAGACUGCCCAGAUCAACUGGGAGGAAGGUGGGGACGACGUCAGGUCAGUAUGGCCCUUAUGCCCAGGGCUGCACACGUACUACAAUGCCCAGUACAGAGGGGGCCGAAGCCGCGAGGCGGAGGAAAUCCUAAAAACUGGGCCCAGUUCGGACUGUAGGCUGCAACCCGCCUACACGAAGCCGGAAUCGCUAGUAAUGGCGCAUCAGCUACGGCGCCGUGAAUACGUUCCCGGGUCUUGCACUCACCGCCCG